ACACAAUCAGAUUUCAGACAACA
RNAcentral lists this non-coding RNA (23 nucleotides) under Arabidopsis thaliana (thale cress). Lineage: Eukaryota; Viridiplantae; Streptophyta; Magnoliopsida; Brassicales; Brassicaceae. The record is from RNAcentral.